Molecule: unclassified non-coding RNA, 869 nt
Filed under: Hevea brasiliensis (rubber tree)
Lineage: Eukaryota; Viridiplantae; Streptophyta; Magnoliopsida; Malpighiales; Euphorbiaceae
Source: RNAcentral
AACUAAUAAUAUAAUAUGCAAAGACAAUUGAUAUGAAUAAUGCAAAAGGAAGAAAUGGUCUGGACUUGGAACCUUGAGGGUUACAUCAAAUGGUAAUUUGUAAGAGCAGGAGUAGAGGAAGGCCCAACGGUCACGGGAGUUUCUAGAGAAAAGAGUAGAAGGUUGUAGAAAAAAGGAAGCAUAGCUGGCACAGAUUGGUUAUAGCAGAAUAGCAUGUGUAGGGGCAUCUAUAUAUAGAGGGUAAAUGGUAGAAGAAGGGCAUGUAGAGAUCCUUUUUGUUGAAUUGAAGCUAUAAGUUAAGCUCUCACGGAAUUGGGUUCUUGGGGUUGCUUGCCAACCAUUUUAUCUUCUUCGUUGUUUUGUUUAUUUUAAUAGUGUUGUUACCAUUAGAGAAUUGUUGAGUAAGAGAGUGUCAUUGUAACUGAUAUAGUUCUCUGUAAUCGAAAAUUUUGCCAUUUCUUUUUAAUACAAGCUCAUAUAUUCUCUCAUAAUCAAUCGCUUUACAUUUCUUAUGUUCUUAACCCUAUCAAAUUAGUCUGAUCUGCCGGAUCCAAAAAUCAGAAGAGAGAAUCGCAUAGUGAGGAUAGAGAGGAACUUGGUUGAGGAAAAAAAAAAACCACCCAUGGGAGACAAGAUAUUGCAGCAAUCAGAGAGGAUUGAAGGGAAAGUUAGGCAGCUCACAGACAGGGAAGGAGGGGGUAACCAUCUCAUCCCAACACCCAACAUCCACAACCCAUUUAUCAAAAAUUCACAAAACACAGCAAACAAGGCUCAAUAAUGGAGUAUGUCGACGGGUUCAACUAAAAGAUAGCACUGGUACCUGAACUAUCCCACGCCUACUGUUUGGGUUAUUCUGUUAGGGAAUUGCA